CACGUGAGUAACCUGCCCUUCACUCUGGGAUAAGCCUUGGAAACGAGGUCUAAUACUGGAUAUGACCUGGCCCUGCAUGGGGUUGGGUGGAAAGUUUUUCGGUGAGGGAUGGACUCGCGGCCUAUCAGCUUGUUGGUGAGGUAGUGGCUCACCAAGGCGACGACGGGUAGCCGGCCUGAGAGGGUGACCGGCCACACUGGGACUGAGACACGGCCCAGACUCCUACGGGAGGCAGCAGUGGGGAAUAUUGCACAAUGGGCGCAAGCCUGAUGCAGCGACGCCGCGUGAGGGAUGAAGGCCUUCGGGUUGUAAACCUCUUUCGGCAGGGAAGAAGCGAGAGUGACGGUACCUGCAGAAGAAGCACCGGCUAACUACGUG
RNAcentral lists this ribosomal RNA (378 nucleotides) under uncultured Actinobacteridae bacterium. RNAcentral describes it as "bacterial SSU rRNA". It matches the Rfam family "Bacterial small subunit ribosomal RNA", at positions 114 to 507 of the family's 1533-position model. The record is from RNAcentral. Lineage: Bacteria; Bacillati; Actinomycetota; Actinomycetes.